RNAcentral lists this ribosomal RNA (252 nucleotides) under uncultured bacterium. Its description in RNAcentral is "partial 16S ribosomal RNA". It matches the Rfam family "Bacterial small subunit ribosomal RNA", at positions 524 to 776 of the family's 1533-position model. The record is from RNAcentral.
UACGUAGGUCCCGAGCGUUGUCCGGAUUUAUUGGGCGUAAAGCGAGCGCAGGUGGUUUAUUAAGUCUGGUGUAAAAGGCAGUGGCUCAACCAUUGUAUGCAUUAGAAACUGGUAGACUUGAGUGCGGGAGAGGAGAGUGGAAUUCCAUGUGUAGCGGUGAAAUGCGUAGAUAUAUGGAGGAACACCGGUGGCGAAAGCGGCCUGCUGGACAUUAACUGACGCUGAGGCGCGAAAGCGUGGGGAGCAAACAGG